Molecule: long non-coding RNA, 635 nt
Filed under: Bos taurus (domestic cattle)
Lineage: Eukaryota; Metazoa; Chordata; Mammalia; Artiodactyla; Bovidae
Description: long non-coding RNA NONBTAT000981
Source: RNAcentral
UUUCCUACAUUUGCUACUAUGGUCACACAUGUGAGAUGUGAGGGCACAUAGAGGUUAGAUGUUAUGUUUCUAAUAGCUCACACAUCCCACUUUUGAACUUGUCUUGUUUUUAGUGUCCCCACCCCAACUUCUAGUCCCAGUUUCUUGGGUAAUUACUCUCUUUUUUUUUUCCCCUCUCCACUUCCCAGUCAGUAUUUUGUUACCUUUAUCUUUUUCCUCAAAGAUGAAAAAUCUGCUUUACAGCACAUCUUGCCCUGAAAAACAUCAGAACUACCUUCAGCUAAGCUCUGUAACCUUUAUGGAAUAUUAUCUUAUUCUAAUUCAGUUAUAGCUGUGAUCCUCAAGUAAGUUUUUCUACCACAGAAAUGAUGUCUUCUUUUCAUCCGGUAGGCAUCACGGUUGCUGCAUCACAUCAUCCAUGUGGGGAGAUGGCUGGUGUGGGAAGCAGGAUGGGGGGACAGGGCUAGAUAAAUUGUGAUUCUAUGCUUUACCUAAGGUCGAAAAUUCUAUGUUACAGAACAAGCUUCUGUACCCUUAAGUUGGUGUAUAAGAUCGCCCAGGCAGUGCCACAGAGAUUCCCUACUCAGUAGAUCAUCCUGGAAGAGUUUGUGUUAUGAUUCUGUAGACCCAUGUGA